UUUCUCUGAUUUCUAUCGUCCUCAUGAGGUUAUAUUGGUGUGUAGGUCCUGACAGACAGACCACAGUGAUCAGUGCUGCUCUGCUAAAAGUGAGCUGGGAAACCAGCAGUCUAGAAUUCAGGGACAGGUGUCUGAGCCAAGCCUCCAGCAGUUGGGGGACGAUAACACAUUUACAGCUCCCAGUGCUGCUCGCCUGUAGUCAAUUACUGUCAGCAAGACCAGUGGAAACAGGACCGGAUGUACAGACAGGCGCUGUGGAUGGGCAGACAGGAGAAUUCAUAAGGAAUGGUAUGUGAGGGUCAUGUGAGGCAAACCUUACUAUACAGAGUAACAGUAAUAUUAAUAUGUAAAUGAAUACACUUCUGUCACAGGGGUCGUGAAAUGGAGACCAAGAUGCAGCGUGGAUAGUGCUAAUUCUUAAUCUUUAAUGAAAACACUUCAAACAGCAAAACAAGAAAACAACCAACAACAGUCCCGUCAGUUCCUGUAAGGUCCUGACGCCGGAGAUAAGAAGCAGGUACGGGGAGUCAAACAUUUAUUCAGGAACAGACAUAGAACAUGGCAGGAACAGGGUGCAGAUGAUCCCACCCAGAAACCUGGCUGGACAAAACCAGGAAAUACCAGAUACCACAGAGAGGGAUCUGCCUUCAACUCUCUGGGCCUGCCAGGCAUAGACCAUCCUUCCGUGAACAUAGACUCAUCCUCCACCCCAUCUCUCCCUCUGUGUCUGCCUUCUGCCCCAGGGGUCAAGAGAGUGCUAACAUAAUUCUCCUGUGGUGGGAGAUUACAGCAUAUUAGGAGUCAAGUCAGGAUAACCACAGUAUCGGUGUGUGGGUAAAAUCCCUUUGGAAGCCAAGCCAGG
Molecule: long non-coding RNA, 862 nt
Filed under: Salmo salar (Atlantic salmon)
Lineage: Eukaryota; Metazoa; Chordata; Actinopteri; Salmoniformes; Salmonidae
Description: lncRNA (ENSSSAG00000110910.1, ENSSSAG00075027789.1)
Source: RNAcentral